RNAcentral lists this ribosomal RNA (253 nucleotides) under uncultured bacterium. Its description in RNAcentral is "partial 16S ribosomal RNA". It matches the Rfam family "Bacterial small subunit ribosomal RNA", at positions 524 to 776 of the family's 1533-position model. The record is from RNAcentral.
UACGUAGGUGGCAAGCGUUAUCCGGAUUUACUGGGUGUAAAGGGCGUGUAGGCGGGAGAGCAAGUCAGACGUGAAGUUCCAGGGCUCAACCCUGGAACUGCGUUUGAAACUGCUCUUCUUGAGUGAUGGAGAGGCAGGCGGAAUUCCGUGUGUAGCGGUGAAAUGCGUAGAUAUACGGAGGAACACCAGUGGCGAAGGCGGCCUGCUGGACAUUAACUGACGCUGAGGCGCGAAAGCGUGGGGAGCAAACAGG